This 415-nucleotide ribosomal RNA is filed under the name uncultured archaeon. Its description in RNAcentral is "partial 16S ribosomal RNA". It matches the Rfam family "Archaeal small subunit ribosomal RNA", at positions 330 to 747 of the family's 1478-position model. The record is from RNAcentral.
GUGCAGCAGUCGCGAAAACUCCGCAAUGUCAGAAAUGAUGACGGGGGAAACCCAAGUGCCUUCCUACAAGGAAGGCUUUUCAGGAGUGUAAAUAGCUCUUGGAAUAAGGGCUGGUCAAGACUGGUGCCAGCCUCCGCGGUAACACCAGCAGCUCGAGUGGUAGUCACGAUUAUUGGGCUUAAAGCGUUCGUAGUCGGUUUAGUAAGUUCUCUGUCAAAUCCUGUCACUCAAUGAUAGGAAUGCAGAGAAUACUGCUAGACUUGGAGCCAGGAGGGGUUAGAGGUAUUCUUGGGGUAGGGGUGAAAUCCUAUAAUCCCUAGAGGACCACCAGUGGCGAAGGCGGUCGGCUAGAACGCGCCCGACGGUGAGGGACGAAAGCUGGGGGAGCGAACCGGAUUAGAUACCCGGGUAGUCC